ACAAAUAUAGAUAUGAAUAUUAUUCAGAUAUAAAAAUUUAUAUUUAUAUUUGUUUUAAACAAAUACGGAUAUAAUUCAAAUACUAAAAGUAUGGAUAUAAGUUGAAUAAUUAAACUCUAUAACUAUAAAAUUAAAGAUAUUAUUAAAUAGAUAAUAAAUCAAGUUGAUAUUAUAUUUAUAUGAUUGUAUAUUUUUUAAAAAAUUAAUAAGUGCUAUAUAAAAUUAUGUAGGAUUGUAAGUACAUUUGGAUAU
RNAcentral lists this long non-coding RNA (252 nucleotides) under Elaeis guineensis (African oil palm). RNAcentral describes it as "long non-coding RNA (EGUI_LNC020768)". The record is from RNAcentral. Lineage: Eukaryota; Viridiplantae; Streptophyta; Magnoliopsida; Arecales; Arecaceae.